CAACAUGUGGAAGGAUAACGCGUUAAUAUUCAAGUUUCCAGCGGGUGCCUGCUCGGCGGUGAGGAAACAGAUUCCAGAUUUCUACCAAGUCAUGUUCAAACUGAACAAAGAUGACAAAGGGACGUGCGUAAUCCCCGCGAAAGAUUACGAGGUGAAGAAUGAACCUGUCAACUGGGUGUUCCCCAGUGUGCCCAUCAUGCAAUAUGGAGAAUAUCGAUUCCGCAUAAGUGCGGGGUUGCCCAGGGUGAAAAUACCCUACCUUUGCCUCGUAGCGGAAUGCCACGUCGUUCCCGUGGCAUGAACGCCGCCAUAAGAACCGGAUUGCGUUUUGCAGGCUUUGCUGUGGAACUGGACUUAACCUAACCAUCGCAGGCGACCGCGGCUCUCCGCUACGCCCUCGAAUAGGCCUUCGACGUGAAACCCUGCAACUUGCAACUGCCGGC
Thrips palmi is the source of this 443-nucleotide long non-coding RNA. RefSeq lists it as uncharacterized. Lineage: Eukaryota; Metazoa; Arthropoda; Insecta; Thysanoptera; Thripidae. The record is from RefSeq and is a predicted model, not a curated record. The transcript has 3 exons.